This 459-nucleotide ribosomal RNA is filed under the name uncultured bacterium. RNAcentral describes it as "partial 16S ribosomal RNA". It matches the Rfam family "Bacterial small subunit ribosomal RNA", at positions 338 to 795 of the family's 1533-position model. The record is from RNAcentral.
UCUACGGGAGGCAGCAGUGAGGAAUAUUGGUCAAUGGUCGGGAGACUGAACCAGCCAAGCCGCGUGAGGGAUGAAGGUACAGAGUAUCGUAAACCUCUUUUGUCAGGGAACAAAGGCGGGGACGUGUCCCCGGAUGAGUGUACCUGAAGAAAAAGCAUCGGCUAACUCCGUGCCAGCAGCCGCGGUAAUACGGAGGAUGCGAGCGUUAUCCGGAUUUAUUGGGUUUAACGGGUGCGCAGGCGGUCUGUAAAGUCAGCGGGCAAAGCCCGGGGCUCAACCCCGGCCCGCCGUUGAAACUGGCAGUCUCGAGUUGGAGAGAAGUAUGGGGAAUGCGCGGUGUAGCGGUGAAAGGCAUAGAUAUCGCGCAGAACUCCGAGUGCGAAGGCAGCAUGCCGGCUCCACACUGACGCUGAGGCACGAAAGCGUGGGUAUCGAACAGGAUUAGAUACCCGAGUAGUC